CCUACGGGUGGCAGCAGUGGGGAAUAUUGGACAAUGGGCGAAAGCCUGAUCCAGCCAUGCCGCGUGUGUGAAGAAGGCCUUCGGGUUGUAAAGCACUUUCAGUGGGGAAGAAAGCCUUGGGGCUAAUACCCUCGAGGAAGGACAUCACCCACAGAAGAAGCACCGGCUAACUCCGUGCCAGCAGCCGCGGUAAUACGGAGGGUGCGAGCGUUAAUCGGAAUUACUGGGCGUAAAGCGCGCGUAGGCGGUCUGAUAAGCCGGUUGUGAAAGCCCCGGGCGCAACCUGGGAACGGCAUCCGGAACUGUCAGGCUAGAGUGCAGGAGAGGAAGGUAGAAUUCCCUGUGUAGCGGUGAAAUGCGUAGAGAACGGGAGGAAUACCAGUGGCGAAGGCGGCCUUCUGGACUGACACUGACGCUGAGGUGCGAAAGCGUGGGUAGCAAACAGGAUUAGAUACCCUUGUAGUC
RNAcentral lists this ribosomal RNA (465 nucleotides) under Vreelandella stevensii. RNAcentral describes it as "partial 16S ribosomal RNA". It matches the Rfam family "Bacterial small subunit ribosomal RNA", at positions 338 to 795 of the family's 1533-position model. The record is from RNAcentral. Lineage: Bacteria; Pseudomonadati; Pseudomonadota; Gammaproteobacteria; Oceanospirillales; Halomonadaceae.